ACCCACUCGCAUCCAGAUUCCCACCCACCCACUCUUCUCCUCCUCGAUGAAACCACUAUCACAGAAGUCACCGAGACCAUCACCACCGUCAUGACCACCACGACUGAGCCGCCGUCACGAUCGAAGACUGAAAUGGAUUCCCAUGGCCGACGACGAGUUCGUCGGCGUCGCGUGUCGUAAGUUUCAAUGAAACUGAAGCUGCACAAGGACUGGGGAAGCACUCAUGCUGCAAUAGACAAUUAUUUGGCUGUUGGAGAUCAAUAUGACGUCCAGACACCUUGAAUGGGUAUGGAUUUGAAGAGCAUACAAUUGCUGCUUUUAAAGGAAGAGAAAGGGUGGGUUUUGAUGAAUUUUUAUUGUUGCAGAAGAGGUGGUCUCUCGGAAUUGGGAGGAAGAAACAAGGUGGAUUUCUAGUGGAUUUGCAGAAGAAGUAGAGAUGUCCCUCGAGUUGGACACAUGGACCCGUCCGGUUCGUUUCAAACGGGUCGAAUUAGGUCGGUUCCAAAUCUCAGAAUCCUUCUACUCGGCUCGGCCCGCCCUGAUGUAUUUUAAAGUGGAUCUGGUUCAGUCCCUUCAAAUUUGGGCUGGUCUGGUCCGUACCCACCCCUAGUUCUAAUACCUCCCUUCCCUUCCACACAAAAAAUGCAGGGUUUCUCAGGCAAUGGGACAAUAUUUUUGAUAUGAUAGCAAUAAAAUGAUCAUGCAAUGGUAAUGCACUGUCUUCUGGUUAUUCCAAAUAUGUAAUGAUACAUCAGUGGGGGUUUGCAUUUUAGCAUGUCAAGAAGACAUAAUUUCAUACAGGCUCUAUAAA
Pyrus x bretschneideri (Chinese white pear) is the source of this 811-nucleotide long non-coding RNA. RefSeq lists it as uncharacterized. The record is from RefSeq and is a predicted model, not a curated record. The transcript is spliced from 2 exons. Lineage: Eukaryota; Viridiplantae; Streptophyta; Magnoliopsida; Rosales; Rosaceae.